UACGAAGGGGGCUAGCGUUGCUCGGAAUCACUGGGCGUAAAGCGCACGUAGGCGGAUUGUUAAGUCAGGGGUGAAAUCCUGGAGCUCAACUCCAGAACUGCCUUUGAUACUGGCGAUCUCGAGUCCGGGAGAGGUGAGUGGAACUGCGAGUGUAGAGGUGAAAUUCGUAGAUAUUCGCAAGAACACCAGUGGCGAAGGCGGCUAACUGGCCCGGUACUGACGCUGAGGUGCGAAAGCGUGGGGAGCAAACAGG
RNAcentral lists this ribosomal RNA (253 nucleotides) under uncultured bacterium. RNAcentral describes it as "partial 16S ribosomal RNA". It matches the Rfam family "Bacterial small subunit ribosomal RNA", at positions 524 to 776 of the family's 1533-position model. The record is from RNAcentral.